Molecule: long non-coding RNA, 251 nt
Filed under: Trifolium pratense (red clover)
Lineage: Eukaryota; Viridiplantae; Streptophyta; Magnoliopsida; Fabales; Fabaceae
Description: long non-coding RNA (TPRA_LNC003418)
Source: RNAcentral
AAAGUUGUAAUAAAAAAUUGCCAACUCAGUUUUGUUCUUUUUCGUCUUGACAGUUUCGUUCUUCUUCUUCGUCGUUUCUUUCUUCGAGUUCGCCGUUUCCUUCUUCUUGGUGUUCGUCAGUUUCAUCUUCGUUUUCGAUCCGUUCAUAUUCAGCGAUUGUUGUUCGUUUUCAAUUUCAAUUUGGGGGUUAGGGCAAAUCUAUUUUCAUCGUGAAUGAAACCCAACUUUCUAUCUUCUUUCUUUCUAUUUUC